UCUACGUCGGCGACCGGCGCACGGGUGCGUAACGCGUAUGCAACCUACCCAUUACAGGGGGAUAACACUGAGAAAUCGGUACUAAUACCCCAUAACAUCCAGGGAGGCAUCUUCUUGGGUUGAAAACUCCGGUGGUAAUGGAUGGGCAUGCGUUGUAUUAGUUAGUUGGUGGGGUAACGGCUCACCAAGACAACGAUACAUAGGGGGACUGAGAGGUUAACCCCCCACAUUGGUACUGAGACACGGCCAAACUCCUACGGGAGGCAGCAG
RNAcentral lists this ribosomal RNA (270 nucleotides) under uncultured bacterium. RNAcentral's name for it is "partial 16S ribosomal RNA". It matches the Rfam family "Bacterial small subunit ribosomal RNA", at positions 82 to 354 of the family's 1533-position model. The record is from RNAcentral.